RNAcentral lists this ribosomal RNA (1099 nucleotides) under Apiospora subglobosa. RNAcentral's name for it is "eukaryotic LSU rRNA". It matches the Rfam family "Eukaryotic large subunit ribosomal RNA", at positions 48 to 1142 of the family's 3401-position model. The record is from RNAcentral. Lineage: Eukaryota; Fungi; Ascomycota; Sordariomycetes; Amphisphaeriales; Apiosporaceae.
UAUCGGAGCAGAACAACAGGGAUUCCCCUAGUAACGGCGAGUGAAGCGGGAACGGCUCAAAUUUGAAAUCUGGCCUUAGGGCCCGAGUUGUAAUUUGCAGAGGAUGCUUCGGGCGCGGUGCCUUCCGAGUGCCCUGGAACGGGACGCCUGAGAGGGUGAGAGCCCCGUACGGUUGGCCGCCCAGCCCGUGUGAAGCUCCCUCGACGAGUCGAGUAGUUUGGGAAUGCUGCUCUAAGCGGGAGGUAUAUUUCUUCUAAAGCUAAAUACCGGCCAGAGACCGAUAGCGCACAAGUAGAGUGAUCGAAAGAUGAAAAGCACUUUGAAAAGAGGGUUAAACAGCACGUGAAAUUGUUGAAAGGGAAGGGUUUAUGACCAGACGUUUUCCAGGGGGAUCACCCGGCGUUCUCGCCGGUGCACUUCCCCUGGUCUAGGCCAGCAUCGGUUCCCGCGGGGGGAGAAAAGCGCCGGGAACGUGGCUCUCUUCGGGGAGUGUUAUAGCCCGGCGUGGAAUGCCCUCGGGGGGACCGAGGUUCGCGCUCUGCAAGGAUGCUGGCGUAAUGGUGAUCAACCACCCGUCUUGAAACACGGACCAAGGAGUCGAACAUUGGUGCGAGUGUUUGGGUGCCAAACCCUCACGCGGAAUGAAAGUGAACGGAGGUGAGAGCCCGUGCGGGUGCAUCAUCGACCGAUCCUGAUGUCUUCGGAUGGAUUUGAGUAGGAGCAUCACUGUUCGGACCCGAAAGAUGGUGAACUAUGCGUGGAUAGGGUGAAGCCAGAGGAAACUCUGGUGGAGGCUCGCAGCGGUUCUGACGUGCAAAUCGAUCGUCAAAUCUGCGCAUGGGGGCGAAAGACUAAUCGAACCAUUGACCAGCCGUCUAGGUGGUUCAGAGGGGGCCCGCGAGGGCGUCGAGGCCUAGGCCUGCGCGGAGUAUGGUACCCUGUACUCUUUUGGUGCCAGGGAGCUUUUGGGUGCCCUAGAGGGUGCUGCGCGCUGGCCGACACCGCUAAAUUGCGGGGACCUCCCAGAAGGCCCCAGGCUACCGCCGGGCGCUGAAAAGCGUGCCGGCACCGAAGGAUAGUUGCCCUUCGGGGUAUGGUA